AUUGAACGCUGGCGGCAGGCCUAACACAUGCAAGUCGAACGGUAACAGGAAGCAGCUUGCUGCUUUGCUGACGAGUGGCGGCCGGGUGAGUAAUGUCUGGGAAACUGCCUGAUGGAGGGGGAUAACUACUGGAAACGGUAGCUAAUACCGCAUAACGUCGCAAGACCAAAGAGGGGGACCUUCGGGCCUCUUGCCAUCGGAUGUGCCCAGAUGGGAUUAGCUAGUAGGUGGGGUAACGGCUCACCUAGGCGACGAUCCCUAGCUGGUCUGAGAGGAUGACCAGCCACACUGGAACUGAGACACGGUCCAGACUCCUACGGGAGGCAGCAGUGGGGAAUAUUGCACAAUGGGCGCAAGCCUGAUGCAGCCAUGCCGCGUGUAUGAAGAAGGCCUUCGGGUUGUAAAGUACUUUCAGCGGGGAGGAAGGGAGUAAAGUUAAUACCUUUGCUCAUUACGUUACCCGCAGAAGAAGCACCGGCUAACUCCGUG
This 489-nucleotide ribosomal RNA is filed under the name uncultured bacterium. RNAcentral's name for it is "partial 16S ribosomal RNA". It matches the Rfam family "Bacterial small subunit ribosomal RNA", at positions 30 to 507 of the family's 1533-position model. The record is from RNAcentral.